AUGAAGGCUCAAGAAGAUACUAAACGCUCUGAUCGUCAGUUCAAGGUGGGUGACUGGGCAUUCCUGAAACUCCAACCCUACGUGCAACAGUCAGUUGCCCGACGACCGAACCACAAGCUGGGUUUCAAGUACUUCGGACCGUAUCAAAUAGUUGCUCGCACUGGUGAGGUGGCUUGCCGGUUGGCCCUGCCGGAGUCCAGCAAAAUCCACCCAGUGGUGCACGUUUCACUGAUCAAGCCGGCGGCUCCUCCAUCCAACUCGGAGGAUUCUUCAGAGUCGCUCCAUUGUGUGCUCGAGCACGCGUCUAGACCAGCUCAAGUACUCCAGUCGCGUCUGGUGCAAGUGGGGGGUCAUACCCGCACACAACUGAAGAUUGCUUGGCAAGGGUUGCCGUUGUCCAUGGCAACCUGGGAGUGGGCAAGAGCCUAUCGAAUUGUAAUCAGAACAUUAUUCCUAUCAAAGCUUUCCUCCCUGCUCCUUCCCCUCCUCCAAGUUCUCUCUUCCCCUGAGACUAUUCUUCUGGUUCGAGAUCCAGAUCCCGGCGAGACACAAGGAGGUUCUACGGGAACAUAG
Molecule: ribosomal RNA, 573 nt
Filed under: Triticum aestivum (bread wheat)
Lineage: Eukaryota; Viridiplantae; Streptophyta; Magnoliopsida; Poales; Poaceae
Description: partial small subunit ribosomal RNA
Source: RNAcentral